UUGGCUGAGCCGGGCGGGGGAAGGCGCGCGGGGGUCGGUUGGGCGGGGCGGAGGGCAGCCCGGCGCGUGCGCCCGGAGGCCGUUCCCCCUCGCGCGCCGGCCUCCGCCGCUUCCGCCUUCCCCUGAGGAGAGCCGGCGGGGCCCGUGGGCGGGCUGGCAGCUGGGUCGCGACCGGCCGGGGCUCCUCGGGAGACCGUCGGCUGCUCCCCGCGCCGGGGCAGGCCCUUCCUGGGAGCCCCGGUGGGGUGGGGGGGGGGAGGGGCUGUCCCCACGGAGCGCCGUGGGAGCCGCUUCCGAGGGGCCGAGAGGGCCGCUGGAGCGGCCCCUGCCUUCAGCCAGGCCUCCCGGCUCCGGGGGCUUCUGGGCCGGCCGGGUUCGUGCCCCGCUCCCCACCCUGGAGGCGAAGUGGCGUUCGCUCUUAGCGUGGGCCGAGACGACUAAGGCUCUUCCCGCCCCCCCGCCCGCGCCCGGGAAAGGGCCGUGCGCUUACACUGUCGUGGUAAAGGAUGCGAGGAAGUAAUUGAGCUUUCAGCUGGGAAGUGGUGUGGUUGCGUGAGUAAGGCUUGAAACGCCGCUCUGUCUGGGAUGUCCGGACGUGCCGGCGUGAACUUCCUAGCUGCCUUCCUGACCCGUGGCGAAGUAUCUGCUGGGAAACAGCCUUCACAGGGGCUGUCUGCAGGCUGUCGCCUCUAGCUUUGUGUACUGUAGUGACCUUUAGCUCUGGAAAACCAAACCACGGGUGUUUAGAAAGUUCACCGUGGCUUCGAAAUGCAUUCUCAAAAGUUUUGAGGCAGGACAUCUUGAACAACAGCCUCAGGCUGUCAUGAGUCAUAAACAAUUACAUGAAACAUUGUUUCUGAUGACUGACUUUGUUGGUCAGCCACCAAAAGGAGAUAGAUGUUCCUGCUGCUAAAGUGUGAGCCCAAACGAGAAUUACCUGUCAGAUAAGCAUUGGUUUGUAUUAUAAUAAUAUAAAAGCAAGCAUGUUUGUACUCCUGAUUUAUUUACUAUUAUUUUAUGCUUUGUAAUAUUUUCUUUUGAAAUCAUUACAUACAUAUGUAUAUAUUAAGAUAUAAAUGAAAAGUUUUUCUGGACUUUGGAGAGUGUUUGACAGUCUCUUUAAUCUGUGUCCAUGAAAAUACUGUUAUUUAGUGUUUUCUAUCCAUAAUUCUCAGCUUCUUUGAAGAAACAGGGGAGGUGCCAUUGUCAUAUUGCAGAAAGAGGUUAAAUACUCUAUGUUUUCGUGAAGCGUUUUGUAGCAGUAACUGAAUCUCUACAGUCAAAUGUUCUGCAUUUGGGAGAUUUGUUACAAUCCAUUUUUUAUGUCUGUCAUGCUGCGUUCUUCCUAUAUUUCUCACCUACCCUUGACGUUCUGGGCGCUUACAGGAUUUGAUCCCCCACAGAGCAGGCCCUGAGAACUAAAAAUUGCAAGGACAACAGUUCAUCUGGUAACACUGAGAAUGCUGCGUGAUCACUGACUCUUUCUAUUUCGUGAUAGAAUAAUUACUGAUGUAGAAAGCAAAUUCGGUAGCCAAGUCUCAUUUUCUGUGUGUGCUUGGUGCACCUGGGCUCCUCUCCUACUCCCUUCGGUGGAUAGAAGGUCGCGUGGAAGAUGUGACACAGGAGAGCUCAGCAUGAAAGUGUGUUUGACGUUCCUUUUGUCGAAGUGCUGUCUUCCCUUGCGUUUGUACUCCAUUACUGCCCAGGAAGCUGACAUACCUCCGCACUGCACCAUGCUGUGACUUGCAGCCUCAGCACUGAUAAUAAUAUGCAACUAAGCAGACAAUUUGUAUCCCUCAGCUUUUGUGGUAGCAAUCCUCAAUACUUAUGCAGAGGACACCUGGCUGAAGAAUGGCUCGCAGGCAUGGACUGGCAGAAGUAAUGUUUGUAAUGCAAGGAAUAUAUCCAGAAUGCCACAUCGCUGUGACGGGAGCAUGAGCUCAGCAGACGGCUUUCUUUUGUACUACAUGUCACUGUCCUAUGUGACCAACCUUUGGCAAGACACAGUGCUCUGAAUGCCUCUGCUCAGGUGCAUGUUUACCCGAAGGACUCCAAGGACUUUGUCUCCUUCCUCCCCCACGUUAGCCGUGCACACUACAGCAUGCCUGCUGUGGCAUACAGUGGUGUCCAUCCACCUCUCAUCUCCAUCCUCCAGCUAUGAUGAGUCUUGCCAUGAUGCUGUUCCCUGUCCUUCUUGGUGCCUUUUAUAAAGAUGGAGGAAUGAAGCACUGCUGCAUGUAGCGGAAAUGAUGCAGCAACCACUAUUUAUGUGGGGAAACUGGAAAAAGGAAAGCCGAAGUGAGUUGUGGGUGAUGAUGCAAAUCCUGGGCAAGAGUGAGGAGCAGACUUCUAUUUCCAGUCACCCUGUGUUUUGUCUUACCCUUGUUUCUUCGUACCUGAUUAUCUCUGUUCUGCGACAUGAAGGUGAUUGAUAGCACUGCAAACUGCUUUGACAUUUGCAGAGCACAAGCAGGGGAACACUUCAUUCGAUAACUCUUAGACAGGUGCCUGCUUAAGGAAAUUGGAGAAGGUGCCCGUAGGUGCAGAACAGCUUGCAGAAGGGUUCUGGUGGAGUCAUUGCCACAGCAUGGGCCCUGGUUCUCUUCAGGAGUUUAACCUUCCUAUCAGCUUUGGGGAGCUAAGAGUUUGCCGUAAUUUCAGACCUCUACAGCCAGAAGCAUUACCGUGCCCCUUUCUCCACCAGCAACUGCCAGCUGAAAGCAGGCAGUGGUGGCAGCAGUGCAUGCUGUUUUGUUGAAAUACUAAAUUUUACACAAUACCAGCUUGAAGUCACCUUAAAAAUAAUUUUUUAACCAUAGAAAUAGUAUAAUAAUGCUUAUGCUAAAAUGUAAACAGUAGGAUGAUAGGCCAGAGUACCAGUUCCUAGCUGGUGGGGUAUGCUGCUACUCAGUGUGAAAUCUGAAAUAAAGCAUGGGCUGGCACGGGGCUGGCACCCUCUGCUUCCCCUGAGGAUGCAGCAGCAUGUGUUCAAGCUGUGGUGCAGAAGAGGCUGCACCUGGCUGAGGAGGAAGAUGAAGUAUGCACGUGGUUUGACAGUACAGCUAAUCCGACCUAGUGACUAGCUGUUGCCAAGGGGGGCGGCUGUGUUUUACAGCCCUGACUAGUCUCUUUCCCCACUCCGUCCCUGUGCUGCUACUGGUACAUGUCUGACCCUGCAGUGGCCUGACUGAGGGAGCUGAGUGGCAGGAAAGUUUCCCUGCAUUUUGCAGGGCUAAUUUUCUGCUGAUUUUGCUUCCUGAACUGUCUCCUGAGACAUCAGACAGGUGUUGGUGCUAACGCAAAACAGGGUGAUGGGAAGGCAUAGCAAGUGAGGGGGAGUAGAAAUACCCUUUUAUGCAGCAGCUGGCUGUUAGAUUGUGUUUUCUGUACCCUCUGACUGAAUCCUGAGUCCUCCUAACAGCAAAUGUUACAAAUGCCUAUGCGGAAAUACGGGUGUGAGAUACAUACUGUAGUAGGAGAUAAUAAAAUCUGCUUUUGGUUUUCUUAGGAAAACCGGUUGGAAACGUGUUAACGUGUAUUUAAUAUAGCAACUGCUAAACUAGAGGAUAAAUAUAAAGAUAAAUCAGUUUAUUAACCUUAGCACUGACAAAUAGUCAUGAAAGCCAUUAGUCUUUCAUGGUCUCAGUCUCCCAUCUCGCUGGGAUGGUGAAGACCAUUAACGCUUAGGUAGCGUUCAGGUUGGCAAGGCAUGCUGGAGGGGCUUCGCAGCUAGCUCGGUAGCUAGUGGCAAUCUGUGUAAAAGUAGAGAUUUCUUCACAAGACUGUUAGUAGGAAGGCACUUUGUUUUAGAAGGGCCAGAUGUGCUACAUUUGACUUCUGAUGAGCUAUUUGCAAAAAUAAUCUUUUAGUGGCUUUUGGUCUUUGCUAGGGAUAGAGAGAAAAGCUACUGGAAAUUCAUUAUUUAUGCUUAGAUGCUUCCUUCUUUUCCAGCCGUUUCCCCGUACUGGAUUACCUUGAUGAUUUUGCAAGAAACUAUUUCCAUUCCAAUGAAUAAACAUCUCAGUAGGAAUCUAAUUUAAUUUUUAUGAAAUAUGCUGGAUCUUUUGAACCUACGAUCCAGGUUUUGCUGGAACAAGAACUUGGAAUGGCAUAUAAGAAUCUUUAAAAAAUCCUUCCUUUCACAUCACAGUAUGAUUGUAGACUCAUAAUUUCACCAGGUUUAUCUCUGUGACAGUUUCACAGUGGGAUGGCCAGCAGUGUUUUUUCGUACCUGAAGCAUCACUAGAAAAUAAUGAAGAGAUCUGAUGUCGCACUGUGUAUUUUUGUGCUAUACGAUUCAUUUGAUUCUUUAUAGAAGCUGCUGUCUAUAAUUACAGCACACUUGAGACAGAAAGAACACCUGAAAACUUAUCAGGGGGCUGCUAUGAAGAAAUACACAAAUCAUUUGUAAAUUCCCUCUUCUUGCUGAAAUCUUAGAGAAACUGUUGUCUCUUAUGUGUCAGGAGUGAGGGGGAGGUUAUGUUUCACUAAUGUCAAAAAGUGACCGUUCCUAGAUAGCGUCUAGUUAACAACAGCCCGAGGGUCUGUGCCAUCUCAUCGCUUGUACCACCGUUUAUGCACAUUGUCUCUCAUCAUCACUAUUCUUGAUGGAGUCUCAGCUUGAUAAGUUCUGCACUGAUAUGUAAGAAGGUGUUAUCGCUGCUCUGAGGAGCCUGCAUUCUGUGAGAAAAAAGGGGAAUCUGUCAUCAUCUGCCUUUCUUUUUUGGUUGUUGUUGGGUAAUCUCUUAAUCCAGUAAUAUUUUGAUCAAAACCUUGCAGGUGGUACAUGUCAAAUGGCCUUUUUGCAGCGAUUAAAUGAGGAAUUGUUUGUCAAGUAACUGUAUCAGGAAGGAUUUUCCAUGUGUGGGGGAAUGUGCAGGGAAAGGCCUGACAACCCUUGUGUGCUGAUUCCUGUUAUUCACUGGUGGAUCAAGUAUAGUGGAUUCAGAGUGUAUUUGAUUUUAUCAGUCAUUAAAACUGUUUCAAUUAAA
Molecule: long non-coding RNA, 4991 nt
Organism: Aquila chrysaetos chrysaetos
Lineage: Eukaryota; Metazoa; Chordata; Aves; Accipitriformes; Accipitridae
Exons: 2
Source: RefSeq, a predicted model, not a curated record